Long non-coding RNA from Anthonomus grandis grandis, 309 nucleotides. RefSeq lists it as uncharacterized. NCBI's taxonomy places the organism in Eukaryota, Metazoa, Arthropoda, Insecta, Coleoptera, Curculionidae. The record is from RefSeq and is a predicted model, not a curated record. The transcript is spliced from 4 exons.
UAUUUUCAGUGUCAACCCACUUUACUUGUCAUAAACCUGAUUGCUUCUUCGUCCGUCCAUGGGGAGUGUCCGUCUUAACUUGUGUGUCAACCCACUUUACUUGUCAUAAACCUGAUUGCUUCUUCGUCCGUCCAUGGGGAGUGUCCGUCUUAACUUGUGUGUCAACCCACUUUACUUGUCAUAAACCUGAUUGCUUCUUCGUCCGUCCAUGGGGAGUGUCCGUCUUAACUUGUGUGUCAACCCACUUUACUUGUCAUAAACCUGAUUGCUUCUUCGUCCGUCCAUGGGGAGUGUCCGUCUUAACUUGUG